GGAGCGUGGAAGACUCCAGAAUCCACUCUGGCUGGAAUCCGGUGGAUACAGCAGUGUUACAGAACAGUUCUCCACAGUCACUGUCCACAUGGGUCAGUGGGACCAAGCAGCACUCUGCUAAUGUCUGGACUCUGACCAGCAACAUCCAGCAAGACCCAGGCAGCGUUUUCUAUCUCCCAGCUGGAGUUUUUUGUUUGUCUGUGACUGGAGAGUCAGAUUUUUGUUGAAGCUGGAGGAACAGAGAGGUUAAUACACUUUACUGAUCCCUGAUGGGAGAAUCAUCACCUCUGCCAACAAAGAAGCCUGGUGGAUGUUUGUUUACAGUCUGAUGAUGGGACAUCAUGCUCUGCAUCUUCAAAGUUUGUCUCUUGAUUAUUAUUCAUACACAGUAAUGUGAAUUAUGCUUAUAUCGAGUAUAACUGGACCAACCUGGUGCUCUUCAUUUAUGGAGGCUGUUGAGUCUGAAUGUUGGAUGUUGUGUAUCUCGUGUUCUCUGGGCUUUGUUGUCCUCAGUCUUUUUGCAGGAUCAGAAAACAAAACCAGGAGGCCUGUAAAUGUUUCUUCUCCAAUUGGAUGAUGAUAAGACUGUGACACGGGAUGCCACCUUUAGUCUUGUGAUGAAGCAAAGCUCAGGAAGAAGUGUGAUUAAAUGGUACCCACAUGUGUGCUGCUGAGAAGGAUGUACAGGAGCACCUGCAGCCAAAUCCAAGCCUCCUCAGAGCAGAGCAGCAGUUUGUGCUCACAGAUGGUGACGGUGUGGAGAGACGGUGGUGUUUCCUCAGAAGAACUAGCAGAGUCACAAAGGGCACGAGUCCAUCUCACCACCUUGACUUGUUGAUCAGUGGACACACUUGUCUCCCCUUUAAAGAAGAUACUCUUAGAGAGAGACGAUCCGAGUCAUCCUUAAAUAUGGGCAGGAUAUCACUAUUGGACUGUCUAACCUGCAGGAGCAGCACUGAAUGAUCACCACACAUGAUCAGUUCCUGCAACAUUCAGCAGCUCUGCUUUUGUGUCAAAUGUCGAACAGCUGGAGAGGAAACUACGCCAGUGUACUGGGAUGUUUCACCAACACGUGCCAGACGCUGUUCCUUCAUGGUGACAUCACCAGAGACAGCCCUGCCCACCUCAGGACCUCGCCAUUGAUCAUGAUGAUUAUAAUGAUGACAGCGAGUGGAACUAAGACUGUAAAAAUCAGAAUGUUUAGAUGUUUUCUAAUUAUUCAUGAAUACUGAGAGCCUCUUUCUGUGUUUUGUCUGUUUUGUUUUUUUUUACCUCAUUUGUUACUAACAAAGUUCAACAAACUCACACAGUUUACAUUCUGUAUGUUUCCAUCUUUACCAGCCACAGUCUAACUGCAAUUAAGAAAAUAAUCCUUAGAAAUUGUCGUUUUUCUCUUUUGUAAUUUUGUAAUUCAGUGAAUAUACUGCGCUGCUUCCUUUAAUUGCGUCUCACAUUGCUUUAAGUUUUUCCAGUGUCCAGUUAUUUUUUACUGUUGUUUGAAUUCUCUGCAUGUUUGACCCUGUAGACUGUUUAAUGGACUGCUUGUCUUCCUGUUUGUAACCGCCGCCUGUUUUUGACUAAAGAUUUGGAUUUCUGACUUUAACAC
This is a long non-coding RNA of Oreochromis aureus, 1606 nucleotides long. RefSeq lists it as uncharacterized. The record is from RefSeq and is a predicted model, not a curated record. Lineage: Eukaryota; Metazoa; Chordata; Actinopteri; Cichliformes; Cichlidae. The transcript has 6 exons.